This is a small nucleolar RNA of Tachyglossus aculeatus (Australian echidna), 139 nucleotides long. The record is from RefSeq and is a predicted model, not a curated record. Lineage: Eukaryota; Metazoa; Chordata; Mammalia; Monotremata; Tachyglossidae.
ACCCUCUCAAGGUCGCUCUUGGAGAGUUUCCAUGACUCUACUAGUCUCGAUUAUGGGAGGGAGAGUCCAAGCAGAGGCCUACCCAUUCCAUUACUAGCUUAGCCAGUAGCUAGUGAGUGGAAGGCAAUCUGCUACAAGU